This 756-nucleotide long non-coding RNA is filed under the name Homo sapiens (human). RNAcentral's name for it is "non-protein coding lnc-SIX2-7:2". Lineage: Eukaryota; Metazoa; Chordata; Mammalia; Primates; Hominidae. The record is from RNAcentral.
AGGCCGCAAGUGACCCCACGACGUGGGUGGGUGCAGCUGCUGGAGCAGUGCUGAUAUCACAGGAGAAAUUCUAACCACGCUCCCAACACCUAUUUCAGGGGUUGGCAAUCAAGUCCCAAGGCAAAAGUGACAUCUAAGGUGAUUUUAGAGAUGGCUACCAGGAUCACCCAACCAUUGGCUACUGCUUGAGGUCUUGGGAGGCCAGAGCCUAAAGCCCAGGGAAAGCUUCUUUUCAGGCAGGGUGUGGGUGUGGGUGUGCGCAUGAGCACCAUGUGUGAGGCAGGGAAUGAAGGCUUGGCACGCCACUUUAGAUGGUGGCUGAGAAUCAGAUGUGCCUGCAUCUGGUGGGAUAGACUGUCUCACAUCUGCCCAGCUGAAGGUUCGGGAGGUUGUGGCAACUUCUUAAAAUAAGACACUAAAGUUUGCUGUAUCAGUUGACUCUUACUUUCAGGAAAGAUUUCUCUGUAGCAUGCAAUGCUGACUGAUAGCAUUUUACCCACGGUAAAAUUUCUUUCAAAAUUGGAGACAAUCCUUUGAAACCCUGCCCCUGCUUUAUCAACUCAGUUUAUGUAAUAUUCUUCAUUCUUUGUCAUUAUUUCAACAGCAUCUUCACCCCGAAGUAGAUUCCAUCUCAAGAAAUGACUUUUGUUGAUCUCUAAGAAGUGACUCCUCAUCCACUCAAGUUUCAUCAUGUGAUUGUAGCAAUUCAGUCGCAUCUUCAAGCUCCACUUUUUAUUUAUUUAUUUUUUGAGACAG